UGAACAAUUCAUUCAGGCAGCAAGUGUUUCCACCAAUAAAAUAAAAAGAAUUGAUUUCAUCCAGAAGAACUGUUUUUGAACUGUGGACUGUUUGAAAUAUUUUGCACCUGCUCAGAAAUCCCUUCACAGCUUGUCUUUGAAUUUGAAAGGCUGUUUUUAAUUAAAUAAAUUUUCUAGAUAACUAA
Long non-coding RNA from Saccostrea echinata, 185 nucleotides. RefSeq lists it as uncharacterized. The record is from RefSeq and is a predicted model, not a curated record. Lineage: Eukaryota; Metazoa; Mollusca; Bivalvia; Ostreida; Ostreidae. The transcript has 2 exons.